CGAGACCUACGGGAGGCAGCAGUAGGGAAUCUUCCACAAUGGGCGAAAGCCUGAUGGAGCAACGCCGCGUGGGUGAAGAAGGUCUUCGGAUCGUAAAACCCUGUUGUUAGAGAAGAAAGUGCGUGAGGGUAACUGUUCACGUUUCGACGGUAUCUAACCAGAAAGCCACGGCUAACUACGUGCCAGCAGCCGCGGUAAUACGUAGGUGGCAAGCGUUAUCCGGAUUUAUUGGGCGUAAAGGGAACGCAGGUGGUCUUUUAAGUUUGAUGUGAAAGCCUUGGGCUUAACUGGAGUAGUGCAUUGGA
This 305-nucleotide ribosomal RNA is filed under the name uncultured bacterium. Its description in RNAcentral is "bacterial SSU rRNA". It matches the Rfam family "Bacterial small subunit ribosomal RNA", at positions 333 to 630 of the family's 1533-position model. The record is from RNAcentral.